This 672-nucleotide ribosomal RNA is filed under the name uncultured bacterium. Its description in RNAcentral is "bacterial SSU rRNA". It matches the Rfam family "Bacterial small subunit ribosomal RNA", at positions 67 to 749 of the family's 1533-position model. The record is from RNAcentral.
CGGGAAGAUUUCGGUCGGACCAAGUGCAUGCCUAGUGGCGGACGGGUGAGUAACGCGUGGGUAACCUGCCUUACACAGGGGGAUAACACUUAGAAAUAGGUGCUAAUACCGCAUGAGCGCACAGGACCGCAUGGUCGAGUGUGAAAAACUGAGGUGGUGUAAGAUGGACCCGCGUCUGAUUAGCUAGUUGGUGAGGUAACGGCCCACCAAGGCGACGAUCAGUAGCCGGCCUGAGAGGGUGGACGGCCACAUUGGGACUGAGACACGGCCCAAACUCCUACGGGAGGCAGCAGUGGGGGAUAUUGGACAAUGGGGGGAACCCUGAUCCAGCGACGCCGCGUGAGUGAAGAAGUAUCUCGGUAUGUAAAGCUCUAUCAGCAGGGAAGAAGAAAUGACGGUACCUGAGUAAGAAGCCCCGGCUAACUACGUGCCAGCAGCCGCGGUAAUACGUAGGGGGCAAGCGUUAUCCGGAAUUACUGGGUGUAAAGGGAGCGUAGACGGUGAUGUAAGUCUGGAGUGAAAGGCGGGGGCCCAACCCCCGGACUGCUCUGGAAACUAUGUGACUGGAGUGCAGGAGAGGUGAGCGGAAUUCCUAGUGUAGCGGUGAAAUGCGUAGAUAUUAGGAGGAACACCAGUGGCGAAGGCGGCUCACUGGACUGUAACUGACGUUGA